This 348-nucleotide unclassified non-coding RNA is filed under the name soil metagenome. RNAcentral's name for it is "partial contains 5.8S ribosomal RNA, internal transcribed spacer 2, and large subunit ribosomal RNA". The stretch from base 1 to 120 matches the Rfam family "5.8S ribosomal RNA", at positions 35 to 154 of the family's 154-position model. The record is from RNAcentral.
GAUGAAGAACGCAGCGAAAUGCGAUAAGUAAUGUGAAUUGCAGAAUUCAGUGAAUCAUCGAAUCUUUGAACGCACAUUGUGCCCGCCAGUAUUCUGGCGGGCAUGCCUGUCUGAGCGUCAUUUCAACCCUCAUGCCCCUAGGGCGUGGUGUUGGGGAUCGGCCAAAGCCCGCGAGGGACGGCCGGCCCCUAAAUCUAGUGGCGGACCCGUCGUGGCCUCCUCUGCGAAGUAGUGAUAUUCCGCAUCGGAGAGCGAUGAGCCCCUGCCGUUAAACCCCCAACUUUCCAAGGUUGACCUCAGAUCAGGUAGGAAUACCCGCUGAACUUAAGCAUAUCAAUAAGCGGAGGA